Molecule: ribosomal RNA, 253 nt
Filed under: uncultured bacterium
Lineage: Bacteria
Description: partial 16S ribosomal RNA
Rfam family: Bacterial small subunit ribosomal RNA
Source: RNAcentral
UACGUAGGGGGCAAGCGUUGUUCGGAAUUACUGGGCGUAAAGCGUGCGCAGGCGGUUCGUUAAGUCAGAUGUGAAAGCCCCGGGCUCAACCUGGGAACUGCAUUUGAAACUGGCGGGCUUGAGUAUGGCAGAGGGGGGUGGAAUUCCGCGUGUAGCAGUGAAAUGCGUAGAGAUGCGGAGGAACACCGAUGGCGAAGGCAGCCCCCUGGGCCAAUACUGACGCUCAGGCACGAAAGCGUGGGGAGCAAACAGG